UAUCUCUCUUUUUAAAGAUGAGUUCCACAAGGAGUGGUGAUCAUAUGAUGAGAAAGUUUUAAAUAGGGCAAAUUAUAUUAGCCACAAACUCUAAUCUUUAUUCUCUUCAAAGGUACUUGAUAGGUCUUUUCAACCAUCAAUAAUAUCCCUUUUUAGGGUGGAAGACUAUCUUGUGAUUUGAUCAUUGUUGAAACCUUUGUAACUUCGUUCAAAUAAAAUAUUUGUAACACCAUCAAGAGUCAUGCCUAUUGUGAUUGCUCAUUUUACUUAUUUCGGAAGAAACCUCCGAGUAUAAACCUAUAUAGGGGGAUUCGAACACGGGAAAUGACUAGUUGCUUAAGCGUUCACAUUAGGGUCACACAAUCAAUUACCUCUUGAAUGUAUCAUCUCUAUUUCCAAUAUCUGAACACACAAGGAAACUAUAAUCUCUUCCUUCACCUUAUCGGUCUCUUCCUUACAGCAAUUCAGUCAUACUAAUAACUGCUAUUUCUACCAAUAUAUUCACCCUCAUAAUCUCCAACUGUAAUACUGUGCUCUCACAGCUUUCAACAUACAAUUACCCUCGUUCCAAUCACUGGAAUUCUUCACACAGAACUGCCAUUCACAUUACAGUGUUUCACACAAACACAGACUCAUUCUCUCUGCUAAACUACAAUCAGAUUUCAGCAUUCAAUCUUUCUUCUUCUCAAAUAAUACCAAUCACAUUUCCAUUCCAUAAUUCACUUCACAAUAUUCAGAAACUGUCAAUCCUCUUAUUCAAAGAAAAUAACAAAUAAAAGAAACGAGGU
Molecule: long non-coding RNA, 788 nt
Filed under: Physcomitrium patens
Lineage: Eukaryota; Viridiplantae; Streptophyta; Bryopsida; Funariales; Funariaceae
Description: long non-coding RNA (PPAT_LNC014443)
Source: RNAcentral